Molecule: long non-coding RNA, 1317 nt
Filed under: Eutrema salsugineum
Lineage: Eukaryota; Viridiplantae; Streptophyta; Magnoliopsida; Brassicales; Brassicaceae
Description: long non-coding RNA (ESAL_LNC001797)
Source: RNAcentral
CACGAGUAUGAGAUUUAAAUCUAGCAACUAAAUGUGAGAAAGAUUGAUUCUUCUUUUUGCUCCUCCAAAAAAACACUACAAAACUCGAAACAGAAAGGCUUUUAGAUCUAUUGCUGCUUCUCGGGUUGUUCCUCUUCUUCUUGGUUUGGGUUUUCUUCUUCCUCUUCUUUCUUCUCUUCCUCUUCUUCGUCUUCUUCUGGUGGAUCAUAAGGCAUCGGCGGUGGCAAUGGUGUCUUCAUUGGGCUAAACUUGGGGAAAAUGUCAGGCCUCCUCCCAGGUUUGGGUCUCUCCCACUCCUAACAGUAAAUCACACCGAAAUUAAAAUCAUUUCUGGAGGAUAAAAAUAUAAAGGAUAAGAACAUUACAAGGAAACAUGGUGUUGAAUUCUACAAGAAAUGAUGAUGAUGAACACAGAUCCCUUGAAAAUUCUGUCUACAUAACACUUAAUAUGCAAAAUGGAGCCUUGCAAGCGCAUGAUGAGCUAUCAAGCACUAGGAAAAGAGAGCUUUUCUACGGAUAUUGAACAAAUGAGUAAACUGUUAACACAUGUAGAUUCAUAGACAAAGAAUAACCAAACAGUAAGCUGGCGAAAAAAGAUUUACGAUACAAACUGCUUCAAAUAGAAACAAAGAUUAUGCAACCUGAAGAGUGAAGACCUAUGAUGACUAAAGCUCUGGUAAAAUGAAAACUGAUUCCGCCUGGUUAUUAGGUCGAUUUCGUCAAGUUCGUGAUGUAAUUGUCAAAAACAGCAAUACACCAUCAAGGAUAAGCCAUGAAUGAAUUAGAAGCAUCGAGAUAAUGUAACACAAAUCUGGAGGGUAUGGCACAACAGUUUGACCAAUAGCUACUUUUAACCAAAUUAACCAUCUUUAUCCUCACUCAUCGAUUAAGCGUCAAACGAAGCAUAUUUGAAAGCGAAUUAGCUGAUUUCGAUUUGAAAUGUGAAACAGGAGAUUUUGUGGGAAGAUCCGAAAUCGAUUUUGAAGUGAGGAAUCGGAGCUUACAAUUGGGAAAUCGAGAGGAUUGCGACGAGUGAGCUUCUCUUCCUCGGGGGCCAUAGCUACAACGUGAAGCUGAUUAUUCGCUCUUCUAGCCAUCCGAAGGCUCGGGUUCCGAUGAAGAGACAAAGAACGGCGAACGGACGAUAAACCAUGGGCACGCGACGAGAAGCAAACAAGCGAGCGCGAGUCGUGUAUCGAAGAAGAGGACAUCUUCGUCGGAGAUAGAAACCCUAGAAAAUCGAGCGAAGGAGAAGGAAUCAACCUCGCAGAGCAAAGCGACGCCAUGGCUCCGGACGGGGCUAGUAAUCGAUUUUCC